CUCUUUAUUUUGUUUUUCGACCCGUCUGUCAUCAUCCAACGAAGAUAAUACAUGCGGUCACGUGCUUCGCAACAUUCCGAUAUCUUUCGCUUGCAGGGAUCGUCGGCUAGGCAGACGUGACGGUAGCAAAUGUCACGUGGUUUAGUUACAAAGAACUGCGGAUGCUAGUAAACAGUCAGUGCGGCAAACCAACGUAGUGCUGGUCCAAAUAUAUUCACUAUAAAAAUAGUCAAGCACACAUACACCGUCACACACGGCACAUGUUGGACUAGUUCAACGAGAACCCGCCUGGUUCGCAGCGAGCGCAUAGCGCCGGAGCUCAGGAGCUUGGCUUCAAAACAGGGGCAUCGCGCAUUCCAUGUAUUGAAUAUGGCGUUCUUGGAAUAUGUCUUCCACUGUGGCCCCGGGCAGCGCGGUUAUGCCCCGACAACACGUAUCGUUUUGGGGACGUCCCAAACAGAUCCCAACGUCGCUGGCUCGAUUGAGGGAUCCGUGGGGAUGCCUUCAGAACUUAUACUUGCUAAGUCCAGCAACGAGGUUCGAAAAACGUCCCCAUGGGAGCAUGUCAGAGACCUCUGUACGAGUGGAGGGGGAACUGAUUCACGGCAAUGAGAGGAGGAGGGCGAGACUGCUGACUGCGCGGUUCAAUUUUCAACGGUCUUCUUGCGAUCGCAUGUGCUCCAGCGAGGCCUUGUCAAUGUUGCUGCCAACGGUGUUAUGUCAAUGAAUUGAACAUCGUGAGCUACUCCUCGAUCAAAGUGUGUUCAUCAUGAGACGCAUAUAAAACGAACAUCAAGGCCAACACUUCAUCGUCAUGUGAGCCAAGCUGUAGCAGGAAGCUUUUGCGUGAUAAACUGAAGGAACAUCAUACGACUGUCGCAACGAUGGUGACGCCUGCAGUGAAACGCGUUCGAUGUUUGUGGGCCAGUCAAGCGAACCGCUUUCGAUGUUGGUGAACACUCUUAGUGAUCAUGAGCCACGUCCCGUGUUGGUAGAUCAAAGACUUGGGGACCACGGGAGCAGUGAUGUGGAUGAGGUUCGUGACAUUGACGGUGCGAACUUGACUGAAUCGCGGCCUUCCCACCCGGAGGAAGCACUUCCAAAACUGACUGCAAUUUUCGUACCUGAAGCAUCAUGUGUGCUUCAAUAUGUGGCUACCUACACUUUUUACGUUUUACAAGUCAGUAUUUUUUCACCUUUCACCUUUUUUUUUUACCUUUCAUGUGUUGUACAUGCAGAUAAGUGCACAGUGCUUGGAACUUUGAUACAUUUGAGAUUAUCUCAUUGUCUUAUUGGAACCUGCCAUCGCCUAAGUACCAUCAAUUAUUCACACUCACACACUGUUGCGAGAAGAACGAUACCUGGUCGCCGCAUCUCAUCAACAUGCUCAGGCGAAGUCAGAGUCUUUUUCAUUGGAGUUUGUCUUAGUGUUUGAAUGCCAGGGUAUUAUGAAAGGUCGUAUUUUCUGUUUGCUUUUACAGAUUGUUUUGUGGGUACCUUGCAGUGUGUUGCAGUCUUUCGUGUCAUGAUAUUUUUAUGGUAAUUUUUCAUUUUUAUUCAACACGGAUAUCACAAAGUUCAUGUGACAUAGAGAAAGGAACACUCUCUAGCCAGUUCUUUCAUAAGGUGAUAUGCCCAGCGAUUAAUUUUUAGGUAAUUAGGUUAUGUUUUAAGCUUUCUCUUUUUACUGUGCUGCAUGUUUGAUAAACAUUUUGGAGCAUCUCCCUUCCAGCAGUGCAAUCUGUUAUUGUAAGGCUGAGUUGAGUAAGGUAAGUUGAGACUUGACUGAGAAAGUACUUGUCCAACAAGACAAGACAAAAGUACAACAACAGGAAGGCCACAACAAAGCUGAUCCGUGAUAUACAGUUUAUUACUGUGGAUUGCUCUUGAUGCUGUGAUAUUGUGAUUUACUGUUAUGCCAAGUGCUUCAAUUCCGCAUGCAAAUGAUGGAUGUAGAAUUACACUUGCGAGUCUCAAUAGUAAGAAUAAACUAGUUCUUUUCUGAA
Molecule: long non-coding RNA, 2006 nt
Organism: Ornithodoros turicata
Lineage: Eukaryota; Metazoa; Arthropoda; Arachnida; Ixodida; Argasidae
Exons: 3
Source: RefSeq, a predicted model, not a curated record